GGGGCUGAUUUUGGAUUUGACAAAAUAUUCUUAUACUGAUGUGCAUGACGAGGUUCGGUUGGCCUCGUAAAAAAACCGAAAAAAAUAUCUGCAAAAAAUAAACAGGAAUACGCUUUAGCAGCUUAAAAAACUGUUUUAAAGCCCAUUGAAAUCUUAUUUUUUUCUCUUGAAAUAAGGUCUCCGAGAAUGGUCAUAAAAUUUAGAGAUCGCAUAAAAAGAUUGUUUUUAUCUGGUUAUGUUAAAAAAAAAAAAAACUAUAUUUCUUUUAAAAUGUCUUAAAUAAAAAAGAAAGAAAAAACUAUAUAAGACUAAUCAUGUAGUUACAUUGGUAAAAAGUAAUUUUUUGGACGCGGGUUCAAAUCCCGCCAGCUCCAA
Molecule: small RNA, 375 nt
Filed under: Buchnera aphidicola (Sipha maydis)
Lineage: Bacteria; Pseudomonadati; Pseudomonadota; Gammaproteobacteria; Enterobacterales; Erwiniaceae
Description: transfer-messenger RNA
Rfam family: transfer-messenger RNA
About the family: Bacterial tmRNA, also known as 10Sa RNA or SsrA, is named for its dual tRNA and mRNA-like properties. Its role is to liberate the mRNA from a stalled ribosome. To accomplish this part of the tmRNA is used as a reading frame that ends in a translation stop signal.
Source: RNAcentral